CCUACGGGUGGCAGCAGUGGGGAAUAUUGCACAAUGGGGGAAACCCUGAUGCAGCGACGCCGCGUGAGGGAUGAAGGUCUUCGGAUCGUAAACCUCUGUCAGCAGGGAAGAACGGUCACUGUGCUAAUCAGCAGUGAAUUGACGGUACCUGCAAAGGAAGCACCGGCUAACUCCGGGCCAGCAGCUGCGGUAAUACGGAGGGUGCGAGCGUUAAUCGGAAUUACUGGGAGUAAAGCGCUCGUAGGCGGUAUGUCAAGUCAAGGGUGAAAUCCCCGAGCUCAACGUGGGAACUGCCUUUGAAACUGGCAGACUGGAGUGUGGGAGAGGUGAGUGGAAUUCCAGGUGUAGGAGUGAAAUCCGUAGAUAUCUGGAGGAACAUCAGUGGCGAAGGCGACUAUCUGGAACAUAACUGACGCUGAGGAGCGAAAGCGUGGGUAGCAAACAGGAUUAGAUACCCCUGUAGUC
Molecule: ribosomal RNA, 465 nt
Filed under: uncultured bacterium
Lineage: Bacteria
Description: partial 16S ribosomal RNA
Rfam family: Bacterial small subunit ribosomal RNA
Source: RNAcentral